This 296-nucleotide long non-coding RNA is filed under the name Hordeum vulgare. Its description in RNAcentral is "long non-coding RNA (HVUL_LNC018880)". Lineage: Eukaryota; Viridiplantae; Streptophyta; Magnoliopsida; Poales; Poaceae. The record is from RNAcentral.
GUUUGAGCAUCAUGUUAGGCAUAUUUUGUGAUGCUUAUCAUGUGUUGAUUGUUUGUUUUCGAAUUGUUUCUUCUCGAUAGAGUUCUGAACCACUUUGCAGUGUGAGAAUUUGUUCGACUAUGUUGGUUCGUCUGGUUCAUGAAUUCGUUCUUCCUCCAAGCGGGAUCACAGGCAAGAUGAUCAUUUCCGUAGAUACCCUACUAUCAUUGCUAUGCUAGUUGUGUCCUUUCUAUCUCUAUGUCUCCCUGCCUACCACCUGUUAUGUCAAGCCUCCCAACAUUUCCAUGAAAAGACUC